This 1380-nucleotide small RNA is filed under the name Pan troglodytes (chimpanzee). Its description in RNAcentral is "retained intron". Lineage: Eukaryota; Metazoa; Chordata; Mammalia; Primates; Hominidae. The record is from RNAcentral.
AAAACUAGUAAGACCUAGUAAGACCCACAGUGGGGGAAAAAUAACUAAGAAGCACUUAGUGAAGCCUGAAGUAGUUACCGUGAAGGAUUUGUUGCUUGUUUUGGUUUGGUUCUAGGUUGGUGAUGAACACCUUAGGAAACAACACCGGGUGCUGGCAGAUCUUCAUUACAGCAAGGCCGCAAAGCUGUUUCAGCUGCUGAAAGAUGCUCCCUGCGAACUGCUUAGAGUACAGCUAGAGAGAGUAGCAUUUGCUGAAUUUCAGAUGACCAGUCAGAAUAGCAAUGUUGGAAAGUUGAAAACACUAUCUGGGGCUCUUGAUAUAAUGGUGAGAACCGAGCACGCAUUCCAGCUUAUCCAGAAGGAGCUUAUAGAAGAAUUUGGCCAGCCUAAGAGUGGUGAUGCCGCUGCAGCUGCUGAUGCUUCUCCUAGUCUCAAUCGAGAAGAAGUGAUGAAACUCCUCAGUAUAUUUGAGUCUCGGUUGUCAUUUCUUCUCCUUCAGUCCAUUAAACUGCUAUCUUCAACUAAAAAGAAAACAAGCAAUAACAUCGAAGAUGACACAAUUCUCAAAACCAACAAGCACAUUUACUCCCAGCUUUUGAGAGCAACUGCAAAUAAAACCGCGACUCUUCUGGAAAGAAUCAACGUUAUCGUCCACCUGCUGGGCCAGCUUGCCGCCGGCAGUGCAGCGAGCAGCAAUGCCGUUCAGUGACUGCACAGAGCCGUGUCCCAGACACGCUGUCAGUGCCUUCAACACGGAGCCGGUUUGUUCAUUCGGUGCUUUGUUUCAUUAAAUAAUAGGGAAAUAUCCAUUUAAAACAGGUAUAUCAGUGGAAACACAGAGUUAUUUUAAGUGACAGACAAAUUACGGUUGAGUUCUGUGGCUUCUUCACUUGAAGUGCUAACAUCAGAAUCAAACUUAAAGCUUCCACUGUUUAUGUCUUUGAGAAGUAUGUAGUACCUCGGUAUUAACAGACCUGCUGUGAUGCAGUUACACUUUCACGUAUUUUUGAAGUAUGUCAAGCUACACGGGUCUAAGAUAUGAUUAUUUUGGAUAAAAUGUUACUUUGGUCAAGAGAACUUUUAUCCAGAUGACAUUACAGGUUCAAGUGGGUUAAGGAGACCUCCUGUACAUCUACAGUGUUUCCUUUUAAAUUGUCCAGAAAAAAGGUGUGUUCUUCAUAAGCUUCAGUGCAGGAUUUUUCAAAGACUAGCUGUUGUGCAAUUUGCUGUAUUUAAUGCAUGUUCUGAAAGGAUUCACUUUUGACUUUAUAUGACAGUUGAUCAAGAACAGGUACUACCCCUUUUUUUCAUUUUAAACUUGAAACUGUGAAUAAGGUAAGAAAACUAUUUUGAAUAAAUAAACUAUUUAUUUAAAAUGUC